Molecule: ribosomal RNA, 468 nt
Filed under: uncultured bacterium
Lineage: Bacteria
Description: partial 16S ribosomal RNA
Rfam family: Bacterial small subunit ribosomal RNA
Source: RNAcentral
GACGAACGCUGGCGGCGUGCUUAACACAUGCAAGUCGAACGGAAAGGCCCUGCUUUUGUGGGGUGCUCGAGUGGCGAACGGGUGAGUAACACGUGAGUAACCUGCCCUUGACUUUGGGAUAACUUCAGGAAACUGGGGCUAAUACCGGAUAGGAGCUCCUGCUGCAUGGUGGGGGUUGGAAAGUUUCGGCGGUUGGGGAUGGACUCGCGGCUUAUCAGCUUGUUGGUGGGGUAGUGGCUUACCAAGGCUUUGACGGGCAGCCGGCCUGGGAGGGUGACCGGCCACAUUGGGACGGAGAUACGGCCCAGACUCCUACGGGAGGCAGCAGUGGGGAAUAUUGCACAAUGGGCGGAAGCCUGAUGCAGCAACGCCGCGUGCGGGAUGACGGCCUUCGGGUUGUAAACCGCUUUCGCCUGUGACGAAGCGUGAGUGACGGUAAUGGGUAAAGAAGCACCGGCUAACUACGUG